Molecule: non-coding RNA, 98 nt
Organism: Acanthosepion pharaonis
Lineage: Eukaryota; Metazoa; Mollusca; Cephalopoda; Sepiida; Sepiidae
Source: the annotation of a GenBank genome assembly
AUUGAAACACCAGUUCCUGUAUGAUCACCAAAGUUAAGCAACAUCGAGCCUGGUCAAUACCUAGAUGGGUGACUGUUUAAGAAUACCAGAUGCUGUAA